This 528-nucleotide ribosomal RNA is filed under the name Triticum aestivum (bread wheat). Its description in RNAcentral is "partial small subunit ribosomal RNA". The record is from RNAcentral. Lineage: Eukaryota; Viridiplantae; Streptophyta; Magnoliopsida; Poales; Poaceae.
AUGAAGUUGAAUUAUCAUCCCGGAAAGGCUAACAUAGUAGCCGAUGCGUUGAGCCACAAGAGCCAUGUCAAUACACUCAUGACCGGAGAGUUACCCAAGGAGUUAGCGGAUGAUCUUCGUGAGCUAUGUUUGGAAAUAGUUCCGAGCGAUUAUGUAGCAGCAUUGGAGAUUCAGUCUACCUUGAUGGAUAAGAAUAGGGAAGCCCAGAAGACGGAUACGGAGAUUGCUGAGAUAAAGGAAAGAAUGAGCAAAGGAAAAGCUAAGGGAUUUCGUGAUGAUGAGCACGAUGCCCUAUGGUUUGAGGACCGCGUUUAUGUGCCUAAUGAUCCGGAGAUCAGGAAAUUGAUUCUACAAGAGGCCCAUGAUUCGUUGUAUUUGAUUCACCCAGAAAAUACCAAGAUGUAUCUGGAUUUGAAGGAUAGAUUCUGGUGGGCCGGAAUGAAGAAGGAUAUUGCGGAGUAUGUAGCAGUUUGUGAUGUAUGUCAGAGAGUGAAGGCAGAACAUCAGAAGCCAGCUGGAUUGCUAUAG